This 253-nucleotide ribosomal RNA is filed under the name uncultured bacterium. RNAcentral describes it as "partial 16S ribosomal RNA". It matches the Rfam family "Bacterial small subunit ribosomal RNA", at positions 524 to 776 of the family's 1533-position model. The record is from RNAcentral.
UACGGAGGGGGCGAGCGUUGUCCGGAAUCAUUGGGCGUAAAGGGCGUGUAGGCGGCCUUGUAAGUCAGAUGUGAAAUCCCUCGGCUCAACUGAGGAACUGCCUUUGAAACUGCAAGGCUUGAGGCCGGGAGGGGGUAGCGGAAUUCCCAAUGUAGCGGUGAAAUGCGUAGAUAUUGGGAGGAACACCAGUGGCGAAGGCGGCUACCUGGACCGGUUCUGACGCUGAGGCGCGAAAGCGUGGGUAGCAAACAGG